UCCAUUUUCAGAAAAAGCGUGACGUGUCUAAGGAUUUAAGGAUCUUUUACAACCCCAUGCUCGGCUCCUCCCACACUGGGCCCUCAGCCUUCAGGAUGGGAAACAGUUUAGGACUGUAAGCUGCAAGUACACCCUUCGUGAAUAUUAUACACAUGGGGUCUCCUCUCUUUUUAUUUUUCAUUUAAAUAUGUUCUGGUGAACAAGCUGGGAUACAAGCCCUUUCAUCAGAAGUUGCUGCUGUUCAGCCAUAUGAAGAUCAGUACUCUCAGCCCAUCUAUUUUGAAGCAGAGAACUUGGAAGAAGUCAAGGCUGAGCCUUAUUUACAGAUAAGGAAAUGAAAACUCAGAGAUGCUAAGUGGAGGGACGUUGCGGUGUGCCACCUCCGUUCACCCAGCACCCUGGGUCCCCUUCCUCCAGCCAGCACCGUAGGCUGCCGCUGGGUCACAUGGAGUCCCUGCCAGGAGAAGAAGCUGCUUCCUGGAUAGCCACAUACACUCCUCAAGUCAGCUCUCCUUCCCGGAUAGCCUCACACACUCCUCCAGGGCUCAGCUCCAGGGUCAUCACCACAAAGACGCCUUCCAUGACCAUCCGAUAUAAGAAAAGAAAGCAGAAUUCCAGCUGGAACUGAGAUCAUCCAUUCACUGACCUGGGACUUCUCGGACAGCUUGGAGAAAGAGAUGGGACCUCCACAUCAAGACCCUUAACCAAUUAAGUAUCUGUAACCAGGAUGAGAGAGAAACCUCUGGGUGUAAAUGGACCAAAGUAGAUAAAGAAUGCCGAGAUCUGGAUCAACACAGUCACCUAAAUAACCCUAUUCUUAAGACACAACUUCAGUUAUGAAUCAUCUGUAUACAUCAUGCCUUAUGCUGACCCUACCCAAAAGGUCCUAUAAAACCCCAAACCCUAAACCCUUAGGUGCACCUGCUCUCUGAGGUCGUCCACGCACCCAUCUGAGUGUUUAUUGUCUGAUAUCAAAUAAACUUUCCAGUUGCAUAAGCUGACUGCACUUUUCUCUGAACUCUUUUCCAUGAUAAUCACAAGAACUCUCCAACCUCCACCUCUCAUGGUAAAUGUCUGUCACUUUGCUAUUUCAUUCAGUUUUCUUGUCUUAACACAAUCUUUUCUCUCUCCCUGUUUUAUUUUAGGCCAGUAGGGAAGAGGAAGUUCUCAGAACAUAAACUCACCCCAUCCAGUGCUCUGCAGCACCCCCAAAUCCUGGGGGUGAAGAGCUAUAAUUCCCAGGCUGUGAAAAUUCAGGCAGACACUGGACACCACAGGACCCUGGCUUUAUGAGCUGGCAAGUGAUCUGCCCUACAGUGAGCAGGAGUUCAAUGAACUUUCCUUUCCUUGCUCUGCUAUUCCUUGCACUCUGCUGCCUGCACAGCUGCUGACAUUUGCUUCUACUCUUGCUUUAACGAAUUCCUUUCUUGCUGGAACUUGUUUGACCUGAUGGAGAAUUCUUUCCCAGUCAGAGUCAAGAACCCCCCAUCAUCCAGGCUGAGGUUUCACCUAGGGCUCAGGGAGAGACCUCCCCAGAUGCAGCUGCCCGGCAACGCAGUCGCAUAGUUCUAAGGACCCUUCAGUUCCUAGAUUUGUUAUGCUGUGAUUUAAAAAAUUAUCUUAGAAACAAUGGCUGAUGGAGUUAUUUUUGCCUUUUCAGGGGAAAUAAGAGGGAGAACGCAGCUAUGUCUUGACCAUCUGUCUUGUGUCCCAGCCUCAGGAACACUUGGCUGGCUUCUUUGGUGAACAGAUCAGUUCCAGCCGAGGGUCCAAGAAGGAACCCAUGGCAGCGAAUCAGCCUUGGGCUUUUCCAGAUGGAUGAUCACAGGAUGGCCAUACUGGAUGUGGGAAUGACUGCGACAGCCAGGGCCAGCCCGGCGUAUUAGAAGUGGCCUCAGACAACAUCAGAGGGGAAUUAGAGGAGUAGUUCAAGCUCACCUGCCCUUUUAGCCUUUGUUACUAUUACAUAUGACAGGAAUCCCCACUUGGCCUGGAAUUCUUCCCUUUGGUGUACGUAUCCCUUUCACAUUUUCAUUCAUGCAAUUAAAACUCUUGAGUACCUAAAAUAUGUUUUUUAGAAAUAAGGAUAGGUACUGGGGAUUUGACAGUGAACCUGACAUGGCUCUCUGCUUGGGUCUUGUUGGGAAGACAGGCAGACAAGUAAACAACCACAAAAUAAUAUAAUAAGUACUCUGAGAGGCAAUCUGGGAAUGCCAGAACAUAGGAGGGACACCCAAACUAUCCUCCUACAAGAAAUACCUAUGAAAGACUUAAAAGAUAAACUGGAGCUGUGGAACCUCUAAAUGGGGAGAGGAAUGAGAGUGUUUUAGGCAAAAGAACUGCUUGGGCAGAGGUCAGGAGCCAGGAGAGAGAAGGGAGUCAGCAGACUGUCAGUGCUGCUAGAGGGGAGUUUGAAGCACUGGAGAGAGAAUCCACGAUGAUAGCAUAACACCGCGAUUGGUUAGGAGCAACUGCUAUGAUAUCCUCAUUGUCCAGAAGAGUAGAAGGUCAACAGAUGAGCUAUGGGAUGCCUGAGAAAGAAUUUGUUUCUUAGGGGCUGAGGGUCCAGGCAGAGCAAUAUCCACAGGGCACUUAGAGGAACAGGGUGGAGAGGCACAGGACAGAGGAACACGGCAGUGAGAAGCCAGGCUGGAGAGGUGGUAUGGUGGUAGGAGGUGGGGUGGAUUCCAGAAUGUUGAAGAAGAAAGGAUGCUCAAGGCAAUUCUGGCCUUUCUGCCAAGUUUUUCUCUCUCAAUAAACAAAUGGCUUACCUAGA
Long non-coding RNA from Manis pentadactyla (Chinese pangolin), 2776 nucleotides. RefSeq lists it as uncharacterized. The transcript has 5 exons. NCBI's taxonomy places the organism in Eukaryota, Metazoa, Chordata, Mammalia, Pholidota, Manidae. The record is from RefSeq and is a predicted model, not a curated record.